RNAcentral lists this ribosomal RNA (433 nucleotides) under uncultured bacterium. RNAcentral's name for it is "partial 16S ribosomal RNA". It matches the Rfam family "Bacterial small subunit ribosomal RNA", at positions 29 to 507 of the family's 1533-position model. The record is from RNAcentral.
AACGAACGCUGGCGGCAUGCCUAACACAUGCAAGUCGAACGAGACCUUCGGGUCUAGUGGCGCACGGGUGCGUAACGCGUGGGAACCUGCCCUUAGGUUCGGAAUAACUCCCCGAAAGGGGUGCUAAUACCGGAUAAUGUCUUCGGACCAAAGAUUUAUCGCCUUUGGAUGGGCCCGCGUUGGAUUAGCUAGUUGGUAGGGUAAAAGCCUACCAAGGCGACGAUCCAUAGCUGGUCUGAGUGGCUGAUCAGCCACACUGGGACUGAGACACGGCCCAGACUCCUACGGGAGGCAGCAGUGGGGAAUAUUGGACAAUGGGCGAAAGCCUGAUCCAGCAAUGCCGCGUGAGUGAUGAAGGCCUUAGGGUUGUAAAGCUCUUUUACCCGGGAUGAUAAUGACAGUACCGGGAGAAUAAGCUCCGGCUAACUCCGUG